This 253-nucleotide ribosomal RNA is filed under the name uncultured bacterium. Its description in RNAcentral is "partial 16S ribosomal RNA". It matches the Rfam family "Bacterial small subunit ribosomal RNA", at positions 524 to 776 of the family's 1533-position model. The record is from RNAcentral.
UACGUAGGGUGCGAGCGUUGUCCGGAAUUAUUGGGCGUAAAGAGCUCGUAGGCGGUGUGUCACGUCGGCCGUGAAAACUCGGGGCUUAACCCCGGGCCUGCAGUGGGUACGGGCAGACUAGAGUGCGGUAGGGGAGACUGGAAUUCCUGGUGUAGCGGUGAAAUGCGCAGAUAUCAGGAGGAACACCGGUGGCGAAGGCGGGUCUCUGGGCCGUAACUGACGCUGAGGAGCGAAAGCGUGGGGAGCGAACAGG